Molecule: ribosomal RNA, 494 nt
Filed under: uncultured bacterium
Lineage: Bacteria
Description: partial 16S ribosomal RNA
Rfam family: Bacterial small subunit ribosomal RNA
Source: RNAcentral
GACGAACGCUGGCGGCGUGCUUAACACAUGCAAGUCGAACGGAAAGGCCUGCUUUCCCUUGUGGAUUGCGGGUACUCGAGUGGCGAACGGGUGAGUAACACGUGAGUGAUCUGCCCCCAACUUGGGUAUAAGCCUGGGAAACUGGGUCUAAUUCCCGAUAGGACUGCAGGGUGGUGCCUGUGGUGGAAAACGAUUUUCUAGUGGUUGGGGAUGAGCUCGCGGCCUAUCAGCUUGUUGGUGGGGUAAUGGCCUACCAAGGCGGCGACGGGUAGCCGGCCUGAGAGGGUGGACGGCCACAUUGGGACUGAGAUACGGCCCAGACUCCUACGGGAGGCAGCAGUGGGGAAUAUUACACAAUGGGCGGAAGCCUGAUGCAGCGACGCCGCGUGGGGGAUGACGGCCUUCGGGUUGUAAACUCCUUUCGACCGCGAGGAAGCCACCUGGCUGGAAGGGUGGUGACGGUAGUGGUAGAAGAAGCACCGGCUAACUACGUG